This 468-nucleotide ribosomal RNA is filed under the name uncultured bacterium. RNAcentral describes it as "partial 16S ribosomal RNA". It matches the Rfam family "Bacterial small subunit ribosomal RNA", at positions 28 to 507 of the family's 1533-position model. The record is from RNAcentral.
GAUGGACGCUGGCGGCGUGCUUAACACAUGCAAGUCGAACGGUGAAGGCGGAGCUUGCUCUGCUGGAUCAGUGGCGAACGGGUGAGUAACACGUGAGCAAUCUGCCCCUGACUCUGGGAUAAGCGCUGGAAACGGCGUCUAAUACUGGAUACGAGCUGCGAAGGCAUCUUCAGCAGCUGGAAAGAACUUCGGUCAGGGAUGAGCUCGCGGCCUAUCAGCUUGUUGGUGAGGUAACGGCUCACCAAGGCGUCGACGGGUAGCCGGCCUGAGAGGGUGACCGGCCACACGGGGACUGAGACACGGCCCAGACUCCUACGGGAGGCAGCAGUGGGGAAUAUUGCACAAUGGGCGAAAGCCUGAUGCAGCAACGCCGCGUGAGGGACGACGGCCUUCGGGUUGUAAACCUCUUUUAGCAGGGAAGAAGCGAAAGUGACGGUACCUGCAGAAAAAGCGCCGGCUAACUACGUG